UCCCUGGUGGCCCAGUGGCUAAGACUCCACACUCCCAAUGCAGGAGGUCUGGGUUCAAUUCCUGGUCAGGGAA
RNAcentral lists this transfer RNA (73 nucleotides) under Capra hircus (goat). It matches the Rfam family "tRNA". Rfam says of the family: Transfer RNA (tRNA) molecules are approximately 80 nucleotides in length. Their secondary structure includes four short double-helical elements and three loops (D, anti-codon, and T loops). Lineage: Eukaryota; Metazoa; Chordata; Mammalia; Artiodactyla; Bovidae. The record is from Rfam by way of RNAcentral. RNAcentral also lists the same sequence under 1 other name.